UUUUUGCUGCAGGAUGGCCAUCUUAAGGUCUGCUAUAGUGUGGCCAGGGAGGUUGAAGUGUUCUCCUACACGUUUUUGUAUAUUGUAUAUUUUGGAAGGUUUUUGU
Long non-coding RNA from Gopherus evgoodei (Goodes thornscrub tortoise), 106 nucleotides. RefSeq lists it as uncharacterized. NCBI's taxonomy places the organism in Eukaryota, Metazoa, Chordata, Testudines, Testudinidae. The transcript is spliced from 3 exons. The record is from RefSeq and is a predicted model, not a curated record.